Magnolia sinica is the source of this 585-nucleotide long non-coding RNA. RefSeq lists it as uncharacterized. Lineage: Eukaryota; Viridiplantae; Streptophyta; Magnoliopsida; Magnoliales; Magnoliaceae. The transcript is spliced from 3 exons. The record is from RefSeq and is a predicted model, not a curated record.
AUUUACUCGUCUGUUUCAGGUGAGAUUGAUGUGGUAAUUUUGAUGGCACAUUUCAGUAAAUGCUAAUCCUGCACAAAGAUUGACUCAUUUUUAUGGCUUGUCCCAAAAUUUCGGCACUUGCAUAUUGCAUUAUGGAAUAUGCAUCCAUUAUUCAAAGAAAGGGCGACAUUCCAAGCACUCACACUUUCUCUCCUUGCUUGCUAAAUUGGCUGACAAGCUAAAGAAGUUAGUGGAGGAUGAAAUUCAUUUUCUCAAGGGAAGGGUUUUAGAACUUGAAAGUGAUCUUAUGUCAAAGUCCACAAAAGUUACAUCUGCAGUUUCAAGGAAAGAAGAAGCUCUAUCUUCUGCAUUUGCUGAAAUUGACCGUCUGAAAGAAGAAAAUUCUAUAAAAACGUGAGCAUUAUUGAAUGCAUAUGGAGAGUGUUUAUUGUGUUGGAGUGUAUUUAUUUCUUGCACAUGAGGGCACGCCUUAGUUGUAAUUCUUAUGAUAGGUUGAGCAAAGUGAAGUAUUGUUUAUUUAGAAAUGUGAAUGUAGGAUGCAUUGUAUGAUUUGAUUGCUAUUUGUAAUAAAUGCAUCAUUUUUUU